Molecule: ribosomal RNA, 1063 nt
Filed under: Bacterium MPBA15
Lineage: Bacteria
Description: bacterial SSU rRNA
Rfam family: Bacterial small subunit ribosomal RNA
Source: RNAcentral
AUGAGCGUCCUAUAAUGCAAGUCGAGCGGACAGAUGGGAGCUUGCUCCCUGAUGUUAGCGGCGGACGGGUGAGUAACACGUGGGUAACCUGCCUGUAAGACUGGGAUAACUCCGGGAAACCGGGGCUAAUACCGGAUGGUUGUCUGAACCGCAUGGUUCAGACAUAAAAGGUGGCUUCGGCUACCACUUACAGAUGGACCCGCGGCGCAUUAGCUAGUUGGUGAGGUAACGGCUCACCAAGGCGACGAUGCGUAGCCGACCUGAGAGGGUGAUCGGCCACACUGGGACUGAGACACGGCCCAGACUCCUACGGGAGGCAGCAGUAGGGAAUCUUCCGCAAUGGACGAAAGUCUGACGGAGCAACGCCGCGUGAGUGAUGAAGGUUUUCGGAUCGUAAAGCUCUGUUGUUAGGGAAGAACAAGUGCCGUUCAAAUAGGGCGGCACCUUGACGGUACCUAACCAGAAAGCCACGGCUAACUACGUGCCAGCAGCCGCGGUAAUACGUAGGUGGCAAGCGUUGUCCGGAAUUAUUGGGCGUAAAGGGCUCGCAGGCGGUUUCUUAAGUCUGAUGUGAAAGCCCCCGGCUCAACCGGGGAGGGUCAUUGGAAACUGGGGAACUUGAGUGCAGAAGAGGAGAGUGGAAUUCCACGUGUAGCGGUGAAAUGCGUAGAGAUGUGGAGGAACACCAGUGGCGAAGGCGACUCUCUGGUCUGUAACUGACGCUGAAGAGCGAAAGCGUGGGGAGCGAACAGGAUUAGAUACCCUGGUAGUCCACGCCGUAAACGAUGAGUGCUAAGUGUUAGGGGGUUUCCGCCCCUUAGUGCUGCAGCUAACGCAUUAAGCACUCCGCCUGGGGAGUACGGUCGCAAGACUGAAACUCAAAGGAAUUGACGGGGGCCCGCACAAGCGGUGGAGCAUGUGGUUUAAUCCGAAGCACCCCGAAGAACGUUACCAGGUCUUGACAUCCUCUGACAUCCUAAAAAUAGGACGUCCCCUCCGGGGGCAAAUGACAGGGGGGCAUGGUUGUCCUCACCUCCUGUCCUGAAAUGUGGGUUAAAUCCCC